This 455-nucleotide ribosomal RNA is filed under the name uncultured cyanobacterium. RNAcentral's name for it is "bacterial SSU rRNA". It matches the Rfam family "Bacterial small subunit ribosomal RNA", at positions 1075 to 1529 of the family's 1533-position model. The record is from RNAcentral. Lineage: Bacteria; Bacillati; Cyanobacteriota.
UUGGGUUAAGUCCCGCAACGAGCGCAACCCUCGUCGUUAGUUGCCAGCAUUAAGUUGGGCACUCUAGUGAGACUGCCGGUGACAAACCGGAGGAAGGUGGGGAUGACGUCAAGUCAGCAUGCCCCUUACGUCCUGGGCUACACACGUACUACAAUGCUGUGGACAAAGAGUUGCCAGCCCGCGAGGGUGAGCUAAUCUCAUAAACCACGGCCCAGUUCAGAUUGCAGGCUGCAACUCGCCUGCAUGAAGGCGGAAUCGCUAGUAAUCGCAGGUCAGCAUACUGCGGUGAAUACGUUCCCGGGCCUUGUACACACCGCCCGUCACACCAUGGGAGUUGGCCACGCCCGAAGUCGUUACUCCAACUGUUUGCAGAGGGGGACGCCGAAGGCAGGGCUGAUGACUGGGGUGAAGUCGUAACAAGGUAGCCGUACCGGAAGGUGUGGCUGGAUCACCUC